ACCAACUGGGAUUACCUUAGUAACGGCGAGUGAAGCGGUAAAAGCUCAAAUUUGAAAUCUGGUACUUUCAGUGCCCGAGUUGUAAUUUGUAGAAUUUGUCUUUGAUUAGGUCCUUGUCUAUGUUCCUUGGAACAGGACGUCAUAGAGGGUGAGAAUCCCGUUUGGCGAGGAUACCUUUUCUCUGUAAGACUUUUUCGAAGAGUCGAGUUGUUUGGGAAUGCAGCUCAAAGUGGGUGGUAAAUUCCAUCUAAAGCUAAAUAUUGGCGAGAGACCGAUAGCGAACAAGUACAGUGAUGGAAAGAUGAAAAGAACUUUGAAAAGAGAGUGAAAAAGUACGUGAAAUUGUUGAAAGGGAAGGGCAUUUGAUCAGACAUGGUGUUUUUGCAUGCACUCGCCUCUCGUGGGCUUGGGCCUCUCAAAAAUUUCACUGGGCCAACAUCAAUUCUGGCAGCAGGAUAAAUCAUUAAGAAUGUAGCUACUUCGGUAUGUUAUAGCUUUUUGGAAUACUGUUAGCCGGGAUUGG
This 523-nucleotide ribosomal RNA is filed under the name uncultured Hanseniaspora. Its description in RNAcentral is "eukaryotic LSU rRNA". It matches the Rfam family "Eukaryotic large subunit ribosomal RNA", at positions 64 to 586 of the family's 3401-position model. Lineage: Eukaryota; Fungi; Ascomycota; Saccharomycetes; Saccharomycodales; Saccharomycodaceae. The record is from RNAcentral.